CUACCCUUUGAUGGUAAAGAAAUUUAUACCAGUCUGUUAAAGUCAAUGCAUGCUAUUGUUCCUGUUGACAACCAGUAUAAAGCAUUUUUAAUUCAAGACUACAACAUGUGUAAGAAGAUGUUAAAGGCAAGCAAAUUGAAAAUGAAACAGAUCACACAUAUGACAAGCAAAGGGCAAAUGUUCAUGGGAG
This is a long non-coding RNA of Mytilus trossulus (common blue mussel), 190 nucleotides long. RefSeq lists it as uncharacterized. NCBI's taxonomy places the organism in Eukaryota, Metazoa, Mollusca, Bivalvia, Mytilida, Mytilidae. The transcript is spliced from 3 exons. The record is from RefSeq and is a predicted model, not a curated record.